AUAAAUAUAAUCUGAAUUCUCAAAUAUUUUUCUUUGAUAUUUUGUCGAUGAACACACAAUUACACUUCAUAUAAUAGCGGUACCAUGAUUCAAUGAUUAACUAAGGACAAGGAUGUCUACAUGAUUCAUCUACUGCCGGUAGACUAUACGAGCUACGAUGCCUGGUGGAUUUUCAGCUGAACCUUUAACUGGUGAAGUAACAACUGCAAUUCGACGAUUGGACCCAUUAUCGGCUACAAUAUUUGCAUCGAUCUCAUGGCUAUCACAUAGGAAUAGUAAUAAGAGAAGCCCUGGGAGCUUUAAACUAAUUACAGAUAACAUUCGAUUUUAUGAUCAAAAUGUG
RNAcentral lists this long non-coding RNA (343 nucleotides) under Zostera marina. RNAcentral describes it as "long non-coding RNA (ZMAR_LNC005126)". Lineage: Eukaryota; Viridiplantae; Streptophyta; Magnoliopsida; Alismatales; Zosteraceae. The record is from RNAcentral.